UACGUAGGUUGCAAGCGUUGUCCGGAAUUACUGGGUGUAAAGGGCGUGUAGGCGGGAUAGCAAGUCAGAUGUGAAAUUCCGGGGCUCAACCCCGGCGCUGCAUCUGAAACUGUUAUUCUUGAGUGUCGGAGAGGAAAGUGGAAUUCCCAGUGUAGCGGUGAAAUGCGUAGAGAUUGGGAGGAACACCAGUGGCGAAGGCGGCUUUCUGGACGAUAACUGACGCUGAGGCGCGAAAGCGUGGGGAGCAAACAGG
Molecule: ribosomal RNA, 253 nt
Filed under: uncultured bacterium
Lineage: Bacteria
Description: partial 16S ribosomal RNA
Rfam family: Bacterial small subunit ribosomal RNA
Source: RNAcentral